This 508-nucleotide ribosomal RNA is filed under the name uncultured bacterium. Its description in RNAcentral is "bacterial SSU rRNA". It matches the Rfam family "Bacterial small subunit ribosomal RNA", at positions 15 to 518 of the family's 1533-position model. The record is from RNAcentral.
GAUCCUGGCUUAGGAUGAACGCUAGCUACAGGCUUAACACAUGCAAGUCGAGGGGUAGCAGGGUAGCAAUACCGCUGACGACCGGCGCACGGGUGAGUAACACGUAUCCAACCUUCCCAUAACUCAGGGAUAGCCUUUACGAAAGAAAGAUUAAUACCUGAUAGUACUUUUUCAAGGCAUCUUAGAAAAAGUUAAAGAUUUAUUGGUUAUGGAUCGGGAUGCGUUCCAUUAGAUAGUUGGUGAGGUAACGGCUCACCAAGUCUUCGAUGGAUAGGGGUUCUGAGAGGAAGGUCCCCCACAUUGGUACUGAGACACGGACCAAACUCCUACGGGAGGCAGCAGUGAGGAAUAUUGGUCAAUGGGCGAGAGCCUGAGCCAGCCAAGUAGCGUGAAGGAUGAAGGUCCUAUGGAUUGUAAACUUCUUUUAUAGUAGAAUAAAGUGAUCCACGUGUGGAUUUUUGUAUGUAUACUAUGAAUAAGGAUCGGCUAACUCCGUGCCAGCCGCUGC